Molecule: ribosomal RNA, 449 nt
Filed under: uncultured bacterium
Lineage: Bacteria
Description: partial 16S ribosomal RNA
Rfam family: Bacterial small subunit ribosomal RNA
Source: RNAcentral
CCUACGGGGGGCUGCAGUGGGGAAUAUUGGACAAUGGGCGCAAGCCUGAUCCAGCAAUGCCGCGUGUGUGAAGAAGGCCUGCGGGUUGUAAAGCACUUUGAGUGGGGAAGAAGGCCUGGGGGUUAAUAGCUUCUGGGAUUGACGUUACCCACAGAACAAGCACCGGCUAACUCCGUGCCAGCAGCCGCGGUAAUACGGAGGGAGCGAGCGUUAAUCAGGCGUACUGAGCGUAUAGCGCGCGUAGGCGGUGAAAGCCCUGGGCUUAACCUGGGAACGGCAUUGGAUACUGUUUGACUGGAGUGUGGUAGAGGGGUGUGGAAUUUCCGGUGUAGCAGUGAAAUGCGUAGAGAUCGGAAGGAACACCAGUGGCGAAGGCGGCACCCUGGACCGACACUGACGCUGAGGUGCGAAAGCGUGGGGAGCAAACAGGAUUAGAUACCCGAGUAGUC